This 1044-nucleotide ribosomal RNA is filed under the name Pleosporales sp. M20338YP15CC1160. RNAcentral describes it as "eukaryotic LSU rRNA". The stretch from base 451 to 1044 matches the Rfam family "Eukaryotic large subunit ribosomal RNA", at positions 1 to 598 of the family's 3401-position model. The record is from RNAcentral. Lineage: Eukaryota; Fungi; Ascomycota; Dothideomycetes; Pleosporales.
GCCUCUGGCCCUGUCGAGAUAGCGUCCUUGCCUAUUUUUUGGAGCACCCUCCGUUUCCUCAGCAGGUCCGCCUGCUACCGGGGACACACGAAACUCUUUGCAAUCAGCAACCGUCUGAAGCAACUACAAAAAAUCAAAACUUUCAACAAUGGAUCUCUUGGUUCUGGCAUCGAUGAAGAACGCAGCAAAAUGCGAUAAGUAGUGUGAAUUGCAGAAUUCAGUGAAUCAUCGAAUCUUUGAACGCACAUUGCGCCCUUUGGUAUUCCUUAGGGCAUGCCUGUUCGAGCGUCAUUACAACCAUCAAGCGCGGCUUGUUGUUGGGCGCCUGUCCCGCCUCCGGCGCGGACUCGCCUCGAAUCGAUUGGCGGCCCCUCCCGGCGGCUCGGAGCGCAGCAGAAUUGCGACUCCACCCGCGGGGACGGCGGCACCCAGAAGCCUUUCCUUCAUAAUCGACCUCGGAUCAGGUAGGGAUACCCGCUGAACUUAAGCAUAUCAAUAAGCGGAGGAAAAGAAACCAACAGGGAUUGCCCUAGUAACGGCGAGUGAAGCGGCAACAGCUCAAAUUUGAAAUCUGGCCUCUUCGGGGUCCGAGUUGUAAUUUGCAGAGAGAGCUUUGGCGUCGGCUGUGGUCUAAGUUCCUUGGAACAGGACGUCGCAGAGGGUGAGAAUCCCGUAUGUGGCCGCCAGCCUUCGCCGUGUAAAGCCUUCUCGACGAGUCGAGUUGUUUGGGAAUGCAGCUCUAAAUGGGAGGUAAAUUUCUUCUAAAGCUAAAUAUUGGCCAGAGACCGAUAGCGCACAAGUAGAGUGAUCGAAAGAUGAAAAGCACUUUGGAAAGAGAGUCAAAAAGCACGUGAAAUUGUUGAAAGGGAAGCGCUUGCAGCCAGACUUGCUUGCGGUUGUUCAGCCGGGCUCCUGCCCGGUGUACUCUUCCGCACGCAGGCCAGCAUCAGUCCGGGCGGUCGGAUAAAGGCCCAUUAAACGUACCUCCCCUCGGGGAGGACUUAUAGGGUGGGUGCCAUGCGACCAGCCUGGAUUGAGGUCCGC